GAUCAUGGCUCAGGAUGAACGCUAGCGACAGGCCUAACACAUGCAAGUCGAGGGGCAGCGGGGAGGUGGCAAUACCUUUGCCGGCGACCGGCGCACGGGUGAGUAACACGUAUGCAAUCCACCUGUAACAGGGGGAUAACCCGGAGAAAUCCGGACUAAUACCCCAUAAUAUGGGCGCUCCGCAUGGAGAGCCCAUUAAAGAGAGCAAUUUUGGUUACAGACGAGCAUGCGCUCCAUUAGCCAGUUGGCGGGGUAACGGCCCACCAAACCGACGAUGGAUAGGGGUUCUGAGAGGAAGGUCCCCCACAUUGGUACUGAGACACGGACCAAACUCCUACGGGAGGCAGCAGUGAGGAAUAUUGGUCAAUGGACGAGAGUCUGAACCAGCCAAGUAGCGUGCAGGAUGACGGCCCUAUGGGUUGUAAACUGCUUUUAUAAGGGAAUAAAGUGGGAGUCGUGACUCUUUUUGCAUGUACCUUAUGAAUAAGGACCGGCUAAUUCCGUG
This 505-nucleotide ribosomal RNA is filed under the name uncultured bacterium. RNAcentral's name for it is "bacterial SSU rRNA". It matches the Rfam family "Bacterial small subunit ribosomal RNA", at positions 15 to 507 of the family's 1533-position model. The record is from RNAcentral.